Molecule: transfer RNA, 72 nt
Filed under: Loxodonta africana (African savanna elephant)
Lineage: Eukaryota; Metazoa; Chordata; Mammalia; Proboscidea; Elephantidae
Rfam family: tRNA
About the family: Transfer RNA (tRNA) molecules are approximately 80 nucleotides in length.
Source: Rfam by way of RNAcentral
GCCCUUGUGGCACAAUAGUUAAGGACUUGACUGCUAACCAAAAGGCUGAUGGUUCGAACCCAUCCAGCAGCU